GAUGAACGCUGGCGGCGUGCCUAAUACAUGCAAGUCGAACGAACAGACGAGGAGCUUGCUCCUCUGACGUUAUCGGCGGACGGGUGAGGAACACAUGGAUAACCUACCUAUAAGACUGGGGUGACUUCGGCAAACCGUAUCUAAGACCGGAUAAUAUAUUGAACCUCGUUGGUCAAUCGUGGAAUACGGUUUUGCGGUCACUUAUAGAUGGAUCCGGGCAGCAUUAGCUAGUUGGUAAGGUAACGGCUUACCAAGGCAACGAUGCGAAGACGACCUGAGAGCGACAUCGGACAGACGGGCACUGAGAAUGGGCAGCGACACUUACGGUAGGACGCAGUAGGGACUCUUACGCGAUGGACGAAAGCCUGACGGAGCACCGUCGCGUGAGUGAUGAAGCUCCUAUGAUGGUAAAACUAUGUUAUCAGUGAAGAACAAAUGCGUAAUUACCUAUGAAGGUCUUGACGGUACCUAAUCAGAAAGCCCCGGCUAACUCCGUG
Molecule: ribosomal RNA, 497 nt
Filed under: uncultured bacterium
Lineage: Bacteria
Description: partial 16S ribosomal RNA
Rfam family: Bacterial small subunit ribosomal RNA
Source: RNAcentral